RNAcentral lists this long non-coding RNA (2070 nucleotides) under Helianthus annuus (common sunflower). The record is from RNAcentral. Lineage: Eukaryota; Viridiplantae; Streptophyta; Magnoliopsida; Asterales; Asteraceae.
CAAACCCUAAAUCUCGAUUUUCUACAUUUGCGAUUUAGCCAAAAUCCUUUCUCAUAUUCUCUCAUCACCGUGAAGGUUUCUCCGGCAACAAUCAACUUCGUUAUUCUGUUCGUUAUUCUCUCUUCUUCCUCUUCAUCUUCUUUCAUCUUCUUCCAUUAAUCCAUGUUUGUUCUUUAUCAACACCUUUCAUACAAUGGCGUUCAAAUUGUAACAAGUGGAAUUGAAUCCAACCGUCCAAUGAGAAACCCGAAAAUCUUCAGAAAAGUUUGAAGCUUGAGAGAGAGAGAGACAAUGGAAACAAGUGGUGGUUGGAGCCAUCCAUCCAAUGGUGAUGUUUGCGUUCCGAUUAGAGCAUCGACCAGCUACAUAAUCAAUCGCAUUGAUUUGGAGUUUCCUUUUGGAUUCUCCCAUUAUUGAAAGUUGUUACAAUCACGAACCCUAAAUCCAGAAUUAACACACACCUUUCUUUUCAUCCUUUGCCUCCUUACAGUUUUCUCUCUUUGAAAAACCCUAGAUCUCAUCUCUUUACAAUCAAAAGUGACCUGAAAUCUUCAAACGGAGCUCGCCGGAGAGUUGGCCGAAGGACGGACGGUGGUGGUCGGAGUAAAGCUAGAUGAGCAGAGCAGGGUGAGGAACUUGAAAGCAUUGCAGACUUUGGUUCCAAAUUCUAACAAGAUUGAUAAGGCUUGAAUGUUGGAUGAAACUAUUGAGUAUCUGAAGCAGCUUCAACUAAAAGUACAUACCCUUACCAUGCGAAACAGGUUUGGUUUGCCACCUAUUUAUGCACAAGAACAAGGAAUGCAAAGGCCCUUGAGCUAUCAACAAGAAACUUAAGCACACAUGUUGGCUUUACACGUAUCACCUGUAGUAGGGAUGAGCAAAUCGUUCCCGAUAACGGUACCAAACCGGUACCGGUACCGAAUUUACCGAACCAGUUACAUAUUUUGUUAUUGCAUCAUUCUUUAGACGAGCUUUUUGGUUUUUGAAGGCAACAAUUGCAUCCCAAUCAAGUGAGUAAGGGCGGAGAAUGAGAUAAAUAACUUUUUCUUGGAGUUGGCAGCUGGCGGGUCCGAUGGAAUAAUUGGAGCUGAACUUGGAAACUUUGUGCAGAAACUAGAGAGGAUCGUUGGUUGUGGGGUCUGGAGCGCUCGAUGUCAGACGGAAGAUCAAGAGUUGACCGGGAAUCUAAUAUACAGUAGUUGUUACAAUUAGAAGAGAAAGAUGUAGUAUCAUCUGUUGCUACUGUGCUUUCUGACCUUUGUGGUCCUGGGAUUGGAUGCCUUUGGAGAAACUUCAUCCUGAGAUGUUACGAGAUAAGGCUGGUCGAGCGGGUCGGGUAACUGGUCAAAACUAAUAAUGAACCUUUCAAGAUAUCAGCCCCCGUUGCCAGCUGAUCAGGUGAAAGUGGCAACUGAGUUUUUGAAUCAAGGAGGGAAGCCACCAUCUACUUACCCCAUGUUGGAGCAUGUUUAUUUAAGCAAAAAGUCUUAAAGCUGGUGAUUCUGUUUUGUUUGUCAGGCUCUAAUUGGAGAUUUUGGGAUCUAUAUUGUUUCAUUUGAUCGACCUGGUUACGGAGAGAGUGAUCGGAUCCUAAACGGACGUUAAAGAGUUUUGCUUUAGAUAUGAAGAAGUUGUUGAUCAACUAGAACUCAGUCCCAAAUUUUUUGUGGUCUAGUUUUCUAUGGGCAGGCAAGUGAUUGGUCUUAUUUGAUCUACAUUCCUCAUAGCGAAGACACAAAAACCUUGGGGUUCUUAUUGGAUUUUGUGUAGAUGGUGCUAAUAAGUAGUGAUGGCUUGCAUCGUGGGCUGAUUUUCGUCUAAAGGGUGGCAAAUAGAAUUGGGUUAAACAAGUUGAGUAACAUGCCAAAUGCAAGCAAGUUGUUAGGCACAAGUUAAACCGGUUGGGUUGACUCGAAAACAUCAUGUAGAUGUACUAUUGGGACGUGCUCAAAUCUCUCAAAAUAUUAGGCUUAACAAAUCACACUUUAACGCUUCUAUGUUUAAACUAUUUUAUGUGUUUAGUUGGUGUUUAGCCACCCGCGAAGCUCGCGGGGUCUUAGGCUAGUAUAU